UUUCCGUAGGUGAACCUGCGGAGGGAUCAUUACUGAGUUAAGACCCUCUGGGUCCCACCUCACACCCGUGUUUAUUGUACCUUGUUGCUUCGGUGAGCCCGCCUCACGGGCGCCGGCGGGCAGCUGCCCCCGAGCCCACGCUUUCCUAUGACACCCUUGAAGUCUGUCUAACAUUUGCAGUCAAACCGUCAACUAAAGAAGUUAAAACUUUCAACAACGGAAAUAUUGGUUCCGGCAUCGAUGAACAACGCAGCAACUCCAAAGAGCAAACAUCUGAAC
This 279-nucleotide unclassified non-coding RNA is filed under the name plant metagenome. RNAcentral describes it as "partial contains small subunit ribosomal RNA, internal transcribed spacer 1, and 5.8S ribosomal RNA". The record is from RNAcentral.